GGCUCAGUGGUGGAGCGCUCGUCUAGCAUGUGUGAGGCACUGGGUUCAAUCCUCAGCACCACAUAAAAAAAUAAAUAAACAAAAUGAAGGUAUUGUGUCCAUCUACAACUAAAAAAGAAAUCUUAAAAAAAAAGAUUAUAUGUUGCUAUUUGACUUUUGUUUUUUUGAAAUGAUUUUCUAAAUUCUUUUUUUAUCAGUAGACAUAGUUUAUAGUAGACAUAAUUUAAAAAGUAAAAUAGUAAAAAAAAAAAAAGAAUUCAUAACAAAAUACAGGGAGUAGUUUUUUUCUACCUUCCCUAUUCUCUCUAGUCCCUAAAGGUAACCACUUUCAACUUCUUAAGCUGUUUCUUCUGGCAUUACAUAUCUCUGCAUUUUAAAAUAAUGUUUUUAUAAUGCUAUCUUUUAAUUCACUUAUUUAUUCAUUAUGUAUUGCAUUUUCAUUAUGAUGGCACAGAAAGUUUCACUGUCUUAAAUAACAAUUUCCACUGUUACCUUGCCCCUAGCCUCCCAAUUUGAUUUUUUUUUUUUUAAACUGUUAAAUGGAUACAGUAUCUUUAAUGUGGUGCUGAGGAUCGAAUCCAGUGCCGUACUUGUGCGAGGCAGAUGCUCUACCACUGAGCUGCAGCCCCAGCCCCUAAUUUAGUUUUAUUAUAAUGUUUGGUUAAAAAAAUAGUUAAUGUUAUAUUUAUACUAUCAUGCUUGUGCAAAUAUUAUUUGCUGAUAAUCCUUUUUUUUUUUUUUGGUANUGUGGUGAAGAGUUCCAGCAAGUCAGUUUAGGGCUGGUAUGGUUUGCCAUGGAUUCUGUCCUUUUCCAAAGUCUCUGUAGGGUCUACUAGAGCUCUAGCCAUUUCAUCCACAUUCCAUUCAUCAGAAAGGAGAAACACAUCUGCCUCCCUUAAAAGAUAUUUCCUGUGAAAUAAAUAAAUGAAUGAAUGAAUAAAUACUGUGUGUGUGUGUGUGUGUGUGUGUAUAUAUAUAUAUAUAUAUAUAUAUAUAUAUAUCUUAUAUAAUAAAUACACACACACAACUUUUGUUCAUAUUCCAUUGGUGAAAUUUAAUUACGUAGCCAUAGCUUGGACGAUUUGGGAAAUGUAUACUUUAUUUGAAUGGUCAGUGCCUGGGAAUAAAGAAUAGGAAUACUCAGAUAAGUGUAGCUAGAAGAGGAAUACAGGGUAGAUAAUAGUUCAUUGUCUUUAGGACAGUUUAAUUAAUUAUUGGUAAUUCUCAAUAGAACUUCUGUAAUUUUGAAAUUGAGUACAAAUUUAUUCUUAAAUUGCAUCAAUAGUACACGUGAAACAUCCCUAAUAUGAAACUCCGAAAUCUGAAACACUUCUGGUCCCAAGCAUUUUAGAUAAGGGACACGCAACCAGUGGGUUGUUUUUAGGGUAUAAUCCCUUUAUGAGUCCUGUGUGUAUGUGUGUGUACAUAUGUGUAUAUUUCCAUUUAACAAUGUUGAACAAAAUUACUUCACAUGGCAACAAUGUGAAAAAUUGAUGAUAAGUAACUGGUAUCCCUCUUUGGUUGAUUUAAAGCCUGCAAUUUUUACUCAGUCCUCCAUUCAUUCUCCAAUUUGGUUGGUUUUUGGCCAGUGUUUUUAAUCCAUCUCUGUCUUUAUAUUACUUCUGUCACUGCUGUUAAUCGUAUUUCCCAAAAUAGUUAAAUGAGUAAAUUUAAUUAAAUGUGUUAUUUGCAUUGUCUCCUGAUCAUUAAUGAAUUUGUAAGUAAGGUCAGACUUACAGUCUUCAUAGUAUUACAGUUACUGAAUUCUAUCCAUUGAAGUGGUACUUAAAUUUUAUUUUAUUUUUAAGGCUUCUGUAUUUUGUGUUCAUACGCUUUCAGUGUUAGAAAUAUGAAGCUCUUCCAACAAAAAGAUAACAUUUUCCUUAGAAUUUUUUGUCACUUUCAUCUGAAAAUGUUAUAACAAGUUUGAAUGAAAAAUUCUUUUUUUUUAAGAUAAAAAGAAGAGGGGCUGCGGUUGUGGCUCAGUGGUGGAGCGCUCGUCUAGCAUGUGUGAGGCACUGGGUUCAAUCCUCAGCACCACAUAAAAAAAUAAAUAAACAAAAUGAAGGUAUUGUGUCCAUCUACAACUAAAAAAGAAAUCUUAAAAAAAAAGAUUAUAUGUUGCUAUUUGACUUUUGUUUUUUUGAAAUGAUUUUCUAAAUUCUUUUUUACCAGUAGACAUAGUUUAUAGUAGACAUAAUUUAAAAAGUAAAAUAGUAAAAAAAAAAAAAAAAGAAUUCAUAACAAAAUACAGGGAGUAGUUUUUUUCUACCUUCCCUAUUCUCUCUAGUCCCUAAAGGUAACCACUUUCAACUUCUUAAGCUGUUUCUUCUGGCAUUACAUAUCUCUGCAUUUUAAAAUAAUGUUUUUAUAAUGCUAUCUUUUAAUUCACUUAUUUAUUCAUUAUGUAUUGCGUUUUCAUUAUGAUGGCACAGAAAGUUUCACUGUCUUAAAUAACAAUUUCCACUGUUACCUUGCCCCUAGCCUCCCAAUUUGGUUUUUUUUUUUUUUUUUUUUUAAACUGUUAAAUGGAUACAGUAUCUUUAAUGUGGUGCUGAGGAUCGAAUCCAGUGCCUUACUUGUGCGAGGCAGAUGCUCUACCACUGAGCUGCAGCCCCAGCCCCUAAUUUAGUUUUAUUAUAAUGUUUGGUUAAAAAAAUAGUUAAUGUUAUAUUUAUACUAUCAUGCUUGUGCAAAUAUUAUUUGCUGAUAAUCCUUUUUUUUUUUUUUUUGGUACCAGGGAUUGAACCCAGGGGCACUUUACCACUGAACCAUAUCCCCAGUCCAUUUUGUUUCUUAUUUUGAGACAGGGUCUCACUAAGUUACUACGGCCUUGCAAAGUUGCUGAGGCUGCCCUUGAACUUGUGAUCCUGCUUCAGCCUCAUGAACCACUGAGAUUACAGGUGUGUGCUACAUGUCUGGUCAAGACUAGAAUAUUCUUAUGUGAAAUUAUACUAUGUGAUUAUUAUUAUUUUAAUAAGUAAAGGUGAAGUAAUAAUACGGUACUCAAAUGUAGUAACUAAACAUUGGUCUCUAGACAGGGCAUUGCUAUAGAAAAGGAAGACUGUCACAUUUUUCUUGAUUGUGAGCUAUCACUUGAAUUUCUAAAAGUAAUUUUUGGAAAAAAACACAAAAAUCUUCUUUAUUAUAUUAAUACUAGAAAAUACUGAGCUUGAGGAAGAAAAUGAGAAUCACUUUAAUUCCAUACCUAGAGGUAACAACUGUUAAUAGUGCAGUGUAUAUUUCUAGUAAUUUUCUAUGUCUUUACCUGUGUAUUCGUACAUGUAUAUUUAAAUGGGAUAUACUACACUUAUUUUUUUUAUUCCCCCUUCAUUUUUUUCACUAUAAAAGUAUAUAUUUUUUGAGAAUUUUGUUUUGCACAGAAUCCUAAGGGAUUAUAUUUUCAUUAACAACAUCUGACAAGUGCUAUUUAUUUGAUUGUAGCUUUUGUGCCGUGCACUGUGCUGAUAUUUUUGUUUUUUAAACAGUUUUAUUAUGUUGACAUUAUUUCAGACUAUAGAAAAAAGUCUAAGAAUGGUAGGUAGAAUUCACCCAGAUAUCCCAAAUGUUAGCAUUUUAGUGUAUUUCUUUUUUCCCUUUUAUAAUGUAGGUGUAUACAGUUAGGUGGUGUUAAAUGAUGGGGAUAUAUUCUGAGACAUGCAUCCAUAGGUGAUUUAAUCAUUUUGUGUACAUUAUAGAAUACUUACAUAAACCUAAAUGGUAUAGGUCAAUCACUUGAUGUUAACUAUUGAAGCAAUCAAAAGACAUGGUAAACUUAAUGAAUGAGGGUGCUGCCUAUAUAACUUGCCAUGUUUUACAGUAAAGUUUUUUAAGAAUAUACUCUAAAAUGACGAAAAGUAUAGUAAAUAUACUACGUAUGUAUGUACCAUAUAUAAUAUAGUAAACCAUUAACAGUUGUUGAUAAUCAUCAUCACAUAAUACAUUCUGCACAUAAUUGUGCACUAUACUUUUGUACAACUGGCAGCCCAGUAGGUUUGUUUACACCAACAUCACCACAAACACACAAUGCUGACACUAAGUGAUAGGAAUUUUUCAGUUCCAUUUUUAUCUUAUAGGACUACUGUCCUAUAUGCAGUCUGUGGUUGACCAUAACAUCAUUAUGUGGUACAUGACUGUUUCUUGUGAAAGAAAGGCAUAGACCUUUCCCCUUACUUUAUGCCUAAAUCUUUCAGUGUGCAUUUUCUAAAAACAAGAACAUUUUUAUGUAAUGCUGUCAAAAUCAGUAAAUUAACAUUGAUUUGGUAAUAAUAAUUUAAUUGAUAUUAUAAUCCACAGACUUGUUUACAUUUUACCCAUGGUGCCAAUAAUGUACUUGAGAAUAAAAGGAAAUUCCAGAUCAUGGAGUGUAUUCAUUUUUUAUUAUUUCUGUAAAUCUAGAGCAGUUCCUCAGUCUUUGUUUUUUCAUGACAUGGACGUUUUUGAAGAGUGCAGGCUAAUUGUUUUGUAGAAUGUAUCUAGUUUGUGUUUAUCUGAUAUUUUCUCAUAAUUAGAUUCAAGUUAUCCAGUUUUGUCAGGAAUACCACAAAACUAGUAUUGUGCUUCUCAGGGCAUAAGCUCAGGAGGUCCAAAAUCUUGAAAUAUUGGUAAUGUAAUCUUGGAUCGCUUCAUUAAGGUUGAAUCUCCCAGGCUUUUCAUGGUGAAGUUACAGUUUUUCCUUUCAUAAUUUUUUCCCAGUUGUUUGGUAUCGGGAAUUGAAUCCAGGGAUGCUUAACCACUGAGCCACAUCCCCAGCCCUUUUUAUUUUAUUUUUUAAAUUUUGAAACAGGGUCUUGCUAAGGUGCUUAGGUCCUUGCUGUUUCUGAGCCUGGCUUUUAACCUGUGAUCCUCCUGUCUCAGCCUCCCUGCUGCUGGGAUUAACAGGCAUGCACCACCACACCUAGUUCCUUUUGUAAGUCUUUUUUUUUUUUUUUUGGUGGCAAAAUGUAUAUGACAAAAUUUAUUUUCAUAUUUUAACCAUUUUAAACAUAUAGUUCAGUGGCAUUACAUUCCCUUUGUAAUUUCAAAAUAUCUCAGGAAACAUACAUUAAGAUUUCAUAAAAUAUUUUGCUGCUCUUGAUUUUAAUAUCUAUUGAUGAGGUCUGCCUGAAUAAUUUUCAAAAUGGUUCCUAAAUGGUGAUUUUCUGAUUGUAUCAUUCUUUCUCAUUUAUUUAUAAUAGUACUAUAUUUAUUUUUUUACUCUUUCUCUGAUUUGGCCAUUUGGAGCCCCUUCAACUGAUUCCUGUUUCCAUUUGAUAUGCCAGUCAGUCAUUCUUUAAGCACUUCUUGCUUCCACAUGAGGUAUUUUAGGGUCAUAUUUGCACUCUCCCAGGCACAGCCCUGGAAUGAGUGCUUUCUUAAAGAAUCCCUUGUUCCUUUUGAGUAAUGAAUAGCUUUGUAAGCUAUAGUCUAAAUUCUGAAAGUCUUAGCUGCUACUGGAUAUCAUUGCUUCAAAGCCCUCUCAGCAGACACCUAGGAAAUACAUAUAUGUGAUUUGUGUGUGUUUAUAUACACACCCAUAGAACUUUUCUUGACUACUAAAUGCAGUGAGUUUAUACUGAUACCUUUGAUUUUGAUCUAACAAACACUAUAGGAUUUUAUUUUGUCUUCCCCUUUUCUCAUAUUUAUGGCUCCAUCCAACAGUGAAAAAUUUUUGCUUAUUUGUUCAAUCGUAGAAUGUAAAAAAAUAGUUUAAGAAUUGCUAACUCCUACCAUUAUUUAAAGGACACCUAGUAAGUAGAAUUCAGUUUGGUUAUAGUUUUUAUUCUCUUUAGCUUAGGGCAUAUAGUCCAAUCCUUCAUUGUAUAGUAGGGUAGCUACUUUUACAACAUGGAUUGAAAUGUGUUCUAAGUGUAAAAUAUGCAUUGGAUUUUGAAAACUUGUUACAAAACAAGGAGUGUGAACUCUGUCUUUAAUAUUAUAAUCGUUUUUGCAAACUGAUUGUUCCAGUAAGACCAGUUUUCUUCAGUGAUUUUGAGAUUUCACCUUUAUCAUAUGUACAAUUUUUGUAUGAUCUAUUUCUGGACUUUUUAUUAUUUUCUCACUGUUGCUUUUAUAGAGGUUUAAUAGUAUAUAAGGGGUUAGCUUUUAAAAAUUUUAAUGUUUUCCUGAUUAUCCUUACAUGGUUAUUUUCCUGUUAAAUUUUGUUAUCACCUUGUCUGUCUCCAUUUUUAAAAAAGUUUUCCAGUAUUUUUAUUUAAUUCGCCGACUUGAUGAUAUUGAAUUAUUCUGAGUUUUCUAUUCAGUAACAAGAAAUAUCUGUUUGCCCAAAUCUACUUUUGUGUAUUUUAGGAAUGUUUUAAGUUUUCUUCAUUUUGUUUUUGUACACUUCUUGUUAAACUCUCCAUUUUAAAAAAACUCAGUAAUGAUUUUCAUCAUGUCAGCAUUUAUAGAGCUAUGUCAUUCCUUUUAUUGCCUGUAGUUUCCUGUGGUCUGAAUAUACCAUAAUGUAUUCAACUUUGCUCAUGUCAGUGGACCUUAAAUUUGCUUAUAAUUUUUCACUAUUGUAAAUAGCGCUGGAAUAAGUAUCUAUAUACAAGUUCUUUUAUUUCAUUAGAUUACAUUCCUUGAAGGAGAAUUGCCUGGUCAAAUGCCCUUUGAUUUUAAAGUUUCUGAAGCAUUGCUAAAGUCUCUCAUUCCCUUCCCUUCCAUUCAUUCAAAGCAGGUAGAUACAGAUUAAGUUUUAAAUGGCAGGAGUGCCCAAAUAGUGGAUUUUUUUUUUCAUCUGAAUGGUGUUGAAUACAAAUGGCAGAAAGGUAAAAAAUUUCAUUGACUGUUUUAUAUAUUUAAGGUCCAGAUACAAUGUGUGUUAUAUAAAAGAGACCACUUAUUGAUUACCUUGCAUGUAUUAAAUCUAGGUGCCUUUUUUUUUUUUUUUGAGAGAGAGAGAGAGAGAGAGAGAAAGAGAGAAUUUAAAAAAAAUAUUUAUUUUUCAGUUUUUGGUGGACACAACAUCUUUAUUUUUAUGUGGUGCUAAGGAUCGAACCCAGCGCCCUGUGCAUGCCAGGCGAGCGCGUUACCGCUUGAGCCACAUUCCCAGCCCCUAGGUACCUUUAAUCCUACAAAUCCACCUAACAUUUAGACAAAACUCAGAUAUUCUACAUGUUUAGCACUCAGAUGUAGACAUAUCUCUAGAUAUAGAUACAUAAUACCAAUCAUACUACAACCUAAAAUAACAGUUGCUUAUUUCACCAAAGAGUUAUAAAGUGAUCAUUUAAAAGCCUUUAAACACAUCUAAAAUGUUUUCUAUAGUAAUAAAAUGUAUACCUACACUAACAGUGUACUUGAACCUCAUUCUGUUGGCAUCAUCAAAACAAGACGUCACCAUUCAUUUUUUUUUUUUUACCUGAAAAAUAGGCAAGGAUAAAACCAUCUUUAUUUUUCAUUUCUUUGCUAACUGAUGAGGUUUGUUUUUUUGCCCAACUAGCCUAUGUGUUGGAACUAUAGAUGACAGGGUAUAGUUGAACAUCUUUUUGUGUUUUUGGUCAUUUAUACUAUUGUGUUUCUUAUCUGUUUUGAUAACAGAAGUAAUUUCUGAUCAGUUUCUAGAUCAGUCCUUAGAUGUCAUUUCCUGUUCUGUUUUGUUAAUGAGCUUCUAAAAAGUAUUUGUUUUCAUUAUACAUUCUAUGGUAAUCACUAUUAAACUAUUAAACUCUUAGUAGUUACAAAAUUAGAAAAUGAAAAUUAAAUGCCCAGUUUUCAAAAGAAAUACUGUAUAUUUAUAUAAAAGUAAUUUUUGCUGUUAUUAUAUCCAGAUGAGGCUGCUGUCUGUUAGAGGGAAUUUUGUACAAUUUGCCUUCACACACAGUCUGUUUGCAUGGUGUAGACUUUUUUUUAUUCAAAACAUCAAUGUGGCAAGUUAGUAGUCUAUACUUAGGCACAUUUUUGUGUUUAUUUAAACAUUUGCUUACAUUUUGUUACUUCAGUGUUAUCUAGUUACUCCCGUGUAAAAUAAGUUUGAAAGUGUCAAUUUCCUGAAAGACUUAGGAUCUUUUGAAGAUUUUCUUUCUUCUGUUGUCUUUGUCUUUCUUAAUUUUGGUGUUUGUUGUGGAGAUAGUAAAGAUUGGUUAAAUUUUGGAAUUAGUUUUCAGAGUUAAUUACUAGCUUUGUCGGUUUACUCUCUUUCCAUUGUAACAAUUGAGCUCAUUAAACUCUAACUUUCCUAUAAUUCACAUAGGGAGCAGCAAAGAUGCAGUUUUAUUGUAGGGAUUAUAAUAAAAUAAAUGUUAUAGGGAUUUAAUUAAUUUAUUCAGAAAGAAUAGAUGAUCAUAAAUCUUCAGUAAAAUGUAGGAGUAAAAAAACAAUUAGAUAACUGUUUUUGAUUUUUAUAUUACCCUGUAGGUAUUUAUUUUCAGUCAACAUUUUUUCUUUUAAAGACAGUAAGUCGAUAUGACUUGCUGUUUUACCCAUCCUCUGAUAUUUUCAGUAUUUUCCAGCUUCUGACUCUUGUGUGUUGCCAGUGGCAACUGGGAAGCUGAUGUACAGGGUGAAGGCUUUAGUGGUAAUCAGAGGGUCAGUCACAGCAACUGUCAGAAGAAUAAUUGUACUCAUGUGCUGCUGAAGCACAUGGCAAAAAUUGAAUGGAAAUUGUAAUAACAUGAUACUGGUGAUUUGCAGAAUUCAUUUUAAAUUGUUUAGCACAGCUAGACAUGGUGAGAAAUAAAUGUUGAUGUUGAGACCUGAGUUUAAACAGUGUUCUCAAAAAGAAUACAAGGUUAAGGAGUCAUGGGCACAGAUAAAAGGGGGAAAUAAAUUUCUCCUUUGUUAAGUUUUUUUGGGUAGUUUUUUGCUUUGGUUAGCACCAGAAAGCUAUCUUCAGACAUUUCUAAAUGUUAUGCUUGGCUCAUAUAAGUAGAUGCAUGGGAUUUCAUUGUACAUAACUGAAAUAGCCUAGAUCUCAGAGCAAACCAAAGUGAGUUUUUUUUUUUAACUUAUAUUUUGUUGUAUGUGGACACAAUAGCUUUAUUUUAUUUUUAUGUGGUGCUGAAGAUCGAACUUAGUGCCUCAUGCUUGCUAGGCAAGUGCUCUAUCUCUGAGCCCCAGCCCCAAAGUGAGUUUUAAUCUAGGUUAUUUAAAAUCUCCUUGUACCUGUCUUAUUAGGAGUAUUAUUAUUUUUUUUUUAAGAAGCUAAUUUGCAACUAGCCAUAAAGAGUGACAUUGUGUCCAGGAAAAUGCUAUACUCACACACUGUACUGUCCCACAAGAGUACUUCUUAAGUCCCCAAAUGCAGUGCUGACAAUCUGUGGCAGCCUAUGAAUUGUUGAAUAGCAGUUGGGGAAGGUGGACAGCAGGGUAAAGUGAUUGUAAGUUAAAGAGGAGAUGGGAAGGGGAAGAAAUGAGAAAAGAGCAGGGCAACUCUGGUUUUGUGGGCAGUUUGAAUGCAAGCUAUUCUAGUUGUUAGGAUCUGCUGAUAAAACUGAAACAAAACAUGCAGAGGUGUUUGGAGGCAUAAAUACUUAUCAUUUCAAGAUGUUAUUGUUUAAUUCUGUUAUUAAAACUGUAAGGUAAGAUUAGAUGGAAUUAAAAAUUUUGGCCAAGUGCUGUGGCACAUACCUGUGAUCCCAGUGGCCAGGCUUAGAAAUUUAAUGAGGCCUUAAGUAACUCAGUGAGACCCUGUCCCUAAAUAAACAUUUCAAAAGGCUGGGGAUGUGGCUUAGUAGUUAAGCAUCCCUGGGUUCAAUCCUUGGUGCCAAAAUUAAAAAAAAAUUUCUUUUGAAGAGACUAGACAUAUCACUUUGUACCAGGGAAUGAAACUGAAAAUGAAAAUUAAAUAAAAAGGGUUGGGGUAAUGGAGUUGGGUCUUAUCUUCUCCAGGAAUUAUUGUAGUGAUAUUAAGGACAGUCUCUAGAAUAUCUAAAUCCCAAAUGAUUGACUGGGUCUUUAUCUCAGGCAAAUGUAUCUUAUGUAUUUGUACAUCUUUUGAUUUGAUUUACAAACAUAUAUGUACAUUUACCACCAGCUGGUUUCAUUUCAGAAAUAUAUGACCAGCUAGAGCCAUCUGUGUCAGAUAUCAAGGAAUAAAUUUCUGGCUUAUUAUUUGAAUUAUGUAGAAUAAUUUAAUCUAGGGCAAGUUAUGAUUCUGAUCUUUCUUGAAUUUUAAGGAUGAUUAUACAAAGUACAAGUUGAACACUCAAAAAGUUUUUCAUUUCAGGUUUCAAAUUUUUGAAUUACGGGUACUCAGACUUAUAUUUAAGUCUAAGUAAAUAUUCCAGAAUCCCAAAACUCUGAAAUCUGAAACUUUCUGAUUCCAAGCAUUUCAGCUAAGAGAAACUCAACCAGUAAAUGUAUUUGAUUGUUUCCUAAGUAUAAAUGUGGAAUUAGGUUUGGGACCCAUUGUUUUUGACCCCAUUCCUUCUGUUAAUUCUAUUACUAGUUUUAGGUUAAAUAUGUUACUGUUUGUUCAUUGAUGAAAUUGGAUUUAAGUAAUCAUGAGAAAAGGUUUUAGUCAAGGAUACUUGUUAUCUCCUCUAUAUCAUUGAUACAUACUGAAAAAGAUACCAGGGCUAAAUGGAAAGGCAAAUGUAGUGAUAAAGGAAAGGUGUAGACACUGUAAUAACUUCUCAGGACUUACCUGUAGAGUCUAGACUCAAUUCUCCACCUUAUCCUAGUGUUGAAGGCCUUCCAGGCUGAAUAUAAUCUUUCUGACAAUGAACCUUUGGCUUUACCUAAACUAGUAUUGUGGACUAAGUGUUUGUGCAACCCCCCUUUCAUAAGUUGAAAUCUAAUCCUUAAUGUAUUGGUAUUUUGGAGGCAAGGCCUUUGGAAAGUAAUUGGAUCAUGAGAAUAAAGCCCCUAUGAAUGGGAUUAAUGACCUUAUAUGAUGGUGCCAAAGUGCUGUCUCACUCACUUUCUCCUUUGUGAGGAUAUAAGUAGGAGUUAGCUAUCUGCAAAUUAUAAUAGGGCUCUCUCCAAAACCUGACCAUGGUGGCUCUCUGUUCUUUAACCACCAGCUGCUACAACUGUGAGAAAUUUCUGUUGUUGAUAAGCUACAUACUCUUUGAUACUUUUUGAUAACAUCUUGAACUGAAAUAAAAAUUUGUAUUAACUAUUUUCAAAAUAAUGCUUUCUAACUUACUGCUUCUUCACAUAUUCAGCCUCUUUUUUCUACAUCAAUUCUGUCUGAAUGUCAGCUUCUGUAGUUCUGGCCUCAAUACCAUUGCUUCAUCACAUUUUCCUUAACCAUUUCAGACCUUUAGUGAUAUCUCUGUCCUCUGGGUUUCUGUCAUUUACUGUUUUUCUUGUUUACUUGGCAGUUACAAUAACAACAACAACUACUACUACCUUUCUGUUUUUAAAGUAUCUUUUCAUUUAGAUAGAGAUAUCUUAAGUGGGAAAACUUCAUUUUUAUUCAUGUAUUGUUUGAUGUGAGAAAAAGCCAUUACAUAUUAUUAGCUCAUAUCAAUAUUUAACAUUUAUCUUUCUUUUGGAGUCAUAAGAAUAAUAGACUAGAAAGCAAUUUAAAAGUUUGAGCAGUAGAUCAUAACUUCUUUGAAAGCCUUUUGCAGUCUGCUAUAUAGGCUUGCUGAUUCUUAAAGUAACAUAGCUCUGAAAAUGUUAUUUAUUCUAAGGUAAUUUUUAUUGAAACUCUUAAUUAGCAAAUUUCAAACUAUAGAAGCUAUUAUUCAUUAACUUCCUAAUGUUUUCUCUGCCUGCCUUGAAGUGAAACUUGCUUUUUUGGUUUAUUUUUCACUGGGAAACAUAUUGCUGAUAUAUAGACUCUACCUCCUUUAUAGUUAUUCCUUUUUGUUGCUAGUUCACUUUGGAGUUUAAUAUUCUCUGCUACUGUUUUACUUCAUAGUUUUUAGAAGGUAUGCAUUCUAGUCUAAUGUAGUAGUUAUAUCAGGGACUUUUAACAGUUAAUUAACAUUUGGAAGCUCUGGGAUCUUAAGUAAUAUAAUUUUCAGUUUUCUCAUCUGUGAAGUUGGAAUAAUAAUAGAUACCCCUUAGUAUUAUACUUGGGAUCAAACAAGAUAAUAUACAUAUAUACACAUACAUACGUGUAUGUGUGUAGACACUAAGCACAGAUUAAGUGUAAUAGUCUUUAACUUUUAAAAUUUUCUCAGUGGUUUAUUAGCUUUAGUCUGCAUCUUAAAGAGAGGAAAAAAAUCAAAUAGUAAUGUAUAUCUUGGUUGAGGUAUAGUCCCCAAGGCCUUAUCCAUUUGAUCUCCUUUAUUUUCAACUAUAGUGUGUCAGUUUAACUCAGGACAGGCCCAGGAGAGAAACUAAUUUCAAAUAACUCUAAAAUACAGACUAUCCUUCCGAUGUUUAGUUAGGGGAAGAAGUUUUAGCAGGUUUUUUUCUUUGAUCCCUACCAGCAGGUACACACACACACAUACACACACAGAGCAGAAAGCAGGCUUUUCCCUAUACCUUUUUAUUAUAUAUUAUAUUGCUAUUGUUCAGUUAUAUUAAGGCUUUGAUCUUACUGCCUUUAGUGGUAAUCAAUAGUAGGUGCUAACAUUAAACAUGGAAUAGUCAACUUGGUGAACCAUGAGGUUCCCAUGUCAUUGGAGUGUGAAAGAGAUUAAGCUGCAACCUGUUUCCUAGCCUAUAAAGUGUGAAAUCAGUUGGUGUUAAUUCAUGGUGACUAUAUAUAGCCAGUUGAGUGUAAAACAAGUUUGGGGUAUUAAUUGUGUUAUGUUUUGAGAAUAACUUUUUAAUGCUAUAAUUUGUGUAUUUUAGGGCUCCCAAGAUCCUCCUGGAAUUGUGUAUCCUUUAUACACUCAUAUUAUACUUAGAUAUAAUAUGAUUAUCUUGUCCAGAUACUCAUAUUUUUCAUGAAAUGUUUCUUCCCAUUGUGUAGGCUACAUUUUUUGUCCAACUGCAUGCAGAGGCACAAAGGUUAUAAAUGCUCAAGGAAAGCUAAUAUUUAAUACUAUAAUUUUUCUGUAUAAUAUUGCAUGUAAAAAAUACCAUUUGCAGUUGGUAUUUGAUAUACAAAUGUCUUCUAAGACUUAGAUUUGAAAGUAUAUAUUGUACUUUAAGGUUUCCAUUACUCUAAGAACUGUGCUGUCAGUUCCACUGGUUGUUAUUCCCAUGUUCACAUGUGCCUCUAGAUGAUUUCAAAUGCUUGGGGAAGUUGCAGGGAAGAAGUAUAUAAAUUAUUCUCUUGGGGAAUAGUAGAGAGGGAGAUCCUUUCCUGACACCUGGUGAGGUUCUUUACCAUAUGGCUUUGAGGUGAGGCAAGGUGAAUGAGGAAGUUUCAGAGACGAUAGUGAAUUAUUAUUGUCAGCACUUUAAGUCUAGAAGGUUAUUGGAAAUUGAUAUGCUAUGAAAGCUUUAAAGUUCUUUCAUUCUUAUUCUGGUUGGUUUUCUCAUUUUACUGAAGCAAUCUUUGAGCUCUCUUCAGUUGCUUUACGUUUACACAGAUUCUAAGCGAAUUGCAAAUAUUUAUGAAAUUAAUACAUUAUUGUGAGACAGAAUGUACUAUGUUAGACCAUCAGGCAUUCUAGCAUAGUAGUUAAGUGUGGGGACUUUUUGAAAUCCUAACAAAAGAUCACCCACUUAGAAGAAGCUGGGUGAUCUUGAGUUAUUUAAGCUUCCUAAUUCUCAUCUGUAAAAUUGGGAUAAUACUAGUUACCUCAUAAUAUUUAGUUGGAAUCAAAUGAGAUAGUAUAUAUAUGGUAUUUAGCACAGUCCCUGUGACAUAGUAAGCAUUCAUUAAAUAUUAGCUGAUUAUUACUUUUUAUUUUCCUUCUACUACUCUUAUUGGUACUAUUCUACUACUAUUUGACUUCUGUUUGUAGGGCUUAAACCUUAAUGAACCAAAAAAAAAAAAAUAUAUAUAUAUAUAUAACUGGACAAGGUUCACAAGAACAGAUUUUGAAAACUAUGUUAUUAUUCUUUUAGGCAUGGGUUAAUAGUCCUUUCUUAACCAAACUAGAAUCUCAAAAUAGCUUUUCUAAAUGAAAGUUAGGGAUCUUUGUAUUGAUUUAAGAUAGCUGUGCAAAUGAAUAUAAAAAUUGAUUAUUCUAAAAUGUAUUUGGUUAAUGCAAAUAAAACAGCCUUUCUGUGAACUCUUAUGGAUUAUAUUGAAAUAAGACUUCAAAACAGUCAUUGCUUUUUUUUUUUUUUUUAAAGGGGGAGGGGAGGGAAUCUUUUUUGUAGAUGGACACAACACAAUGCCUUUAUUUUUUAUUUUUUAUGUGGUGCUGAGAAUCAAACCCGGGUCCCGCCCGUGCUAGGCAAGUACUCUACCACUGAGCCAUAAUCCCAGCCCCGAGAAAUGAUUUUCUUCUGGUGCUAACAAUAGUUGUGGUAGAGGUUUUGUCCAGUGUAUGAAACAUAUUUUUGUGGGAAUGAGAUGGAAAAGUCAUCCUGAUCAUUUACACUAAUGGAGAUGAGCAUUAGUGUGGAUAAUAUAUUUGAAUUUGAUGUGCAUUAUGUGAUUAUUUUUGCAGCACAAUUAACUUUCUGAUUAAACUUUACUCAGCAUAUAUCCUGAUGAUAUACUGGGUAGAAAACUGAGUGAUAUAGCUAUAAUGGUGACAACAUUACUGAUUUAGUUUAGAUAGGUGAUCUGGAUUCAGGUCUCAGUUUCCAGUCAAAUAAGUGUAAGUCUUAGAUACACUCCCCAACCAGUUUUCUCAUCUUUAAGAUGAGGAGGUGAUACAGCAUGAUUUUUGAAGGUUCUUAGCCAUAAGACUGUAAAAUCUGAAUGGAGGUAGGUUGGGAAUGAGGAAAUGUAGCAGUGACACGUUCUGGCCACCAGAGGGUGAAAUCCAGUCAGUCAUCUUGUGUUGUAUUGUUGACCAGAGUUUGGCAUUCUUGGAAAUGAAGAGGACACAUUGCUUCCCUGUCCAUUUAGGCUAAGUCAAUACUACUUGCAUUCAGUAUCCUUUUUUUUUUUCCCUUUUCUUUUUCAACCUUCUGGAUAGGACUGGGGCAAAUAAAGGAAAAGAGAAGAGUAGUGGUUUCUAAUGAUCCGGGCUUCACUGACAUCUGGUUUUGUUCUCUAAGAUGGUGAAUGACUAUCAGAUAACCUAUGUGCAACUUCAGUGGGAAGCUCAGUAGUUUAGGUGACCACAUUUAAUUAUUUGUAGCACUCUUCUCACGCAUAUAAACACAUAAGCACUUCUCAACUAUCAUUAUCCACCCUCUCUGAAAUCCCAGGAUAAAGACAAAAUGUCUGAGAAAUACAGUAGAAUGAGACAGUAUUUGUAAUUGUAAUCUUAAAUUUCAGCUUGCUUUGCGGGUUUGCCAUUUAAUAUCUUUGUAACCAUGAAGAGUAAAACCUUGGAUCCUUGGUAUUCUUAUCUGAAAAAUUAGGAUGUUGUGGCCUAUACUAUCCCUUCUAGUAGUCUACAGAUACUGCAAAAAAUUCUUUGAUAUUUAUAAGGGGAAGUCUUUUUCUUAAAUACAGAACUAUAAUAAAAAAAUGGUUACUCCCCCCACCUCCACUCAUUUUUGCAGUAAUGGGGAUUGAACCCAGGGCUGCUGUACCACUGAGCUACAUCCCAGCCUUUUUUAUUUUUUAUUGUGAGACAAUGUCUCAUUAAGUUGCCCAGGCUGGCCUCAAACUUGUGAUCUUCCUGCCUCAGUCUCCUGAGUCACUGGGAUUACAAGCAUGAACCACUGGGCCCUGCUAAAGAAGGAUCUUUUAAACAUAGCAUAUUAUUUCUGUUUUGACAGAAACAGAUACAGAUGUUGUUAAGGCAUAAAUGUUAAAACAUUAACAUUUAUUAACAACAAGAAGAAAGACUGUUGCUAUUUCAUUGAAUCAUUUUUCUUACCCCAAAAAUAUAAAGGUUCUCUACUUAUAGGUUUAGGGUAGCAGUAGUUUAGUCAAGAGAAUGUUUUCUCUGAUAUGUGGAUGCUAAUUCACAAUAAGGGGGGUGGCUAGGUAAGAAUAGAGUUUCUUUGAAUUAGGCAGAGAGGAAUGAAGGGAGGGGAGGGGAUAUGGUGCUAGGAAGGAUAGUAAAAUGAAUUGGAUGAUAUUACCAUAUGUGCAUAUAUGACUGCACAACUGGUGUGAUUCUACAUUAUGUAAAACCAGAAGAAUGAGAAGUUAAACUCCAUUUAUGUGUGAUGUGCCAGACUUCAUUCUACUGUCAUGUAUAACUAAUUAAAACAAAUUAAAAAAAAAAAGAGUUGGUCAAUACUAGGAACCAAGCUGACCUGAUUGGGAUGUAGGAGAUAAGGAAGCAUUUAGAGGAGGUCUUAAUUUGGGAAUAAGUGAGCAUAGAAAAAGAGUAUAUGGGUACUAGGAGUUCAUAUCACAGUAUCCAUUUCUUCUAGCCACACCAAUGGAAAUAACUUUGAUAGAGUCUAAGUUGUCUGAGAGCUCAGGAUAGCAUCGAAGGAACAAAGAAAGGCAUGGAGUCUAAUACAGAUGAGAUGACUAGAAGAAGGCAAAGCAAAUGGACAUAAGAAUGUGCUUUGGAAAGUAGGCAAGGAUUAGUACUUACACUUUGAUAUGUACUCAGGAAAGUAAAAGUGAACUAGAUAGAAACAGGAUUUUAGCAUUCUGUAUAGAAGACAGAUUUUUUUUUUCCUUUUUUGUACCAAGGAUUGAACCCAGGAGCGCUUUACCACUAAGCCACAUCCUCAGCCCUUUUUAAUAUUUUAUUAGAGACAGGGUCUCGCCAAGUUGCUUAGGCUGGCUUUGAAAUUGGGGUCCUCCUGUCUCAGCCUCCUGAGCUGCUGGGAUUACCGGUAUACAACACCAGGCUGGGCCAGUUGAUAGAAUUUAAUUGUCCUGUUUUUAAUCACCAUCCUUGGUGUUGGUAGACAGGACUCUAUACAUGUUUGAGGACAGUGAUAUAUCACUGGCAAACUCGAGGUGGUUUGAUGAUUCUAAUAGCAUCACACUCCACUGGAUACACAUACUCACAGAUCUGCUCACCAGUACUGUAGAGUUCAUUCCCAGAAACGAACUGGCUAGUAAAAAAUUUGGCAAACAAGCUAGCUUUUCAAGUACUGCUAGGAAUGGAGCCCAGCUGUUCCCUUUGGGCUUUAAGCUGUUGGAAUUCAUUGUGUUAACAGCUAGAAAGAAUGAAACUAUAACAUGUUUAGCCUAGUUCAUGACAGCAAAGCAGAGGUGUUAGGAUUUCUGUUUUAGAGGUUUACACUGCAAGUAACUUAACCUGAUUGUGUGUCUUAAUAUUACUGGGCUUCUGACCGCUGAAAUAUGGCUUGGAUCGAUGGUGGUUUGGAGAAAGUAGAAAGAGGGCUAUCCAUCAUUUAGAGGCCCCAUAGAAGCUGGCUGAUAAUGCUGCUUUCACCAAGCAGCCAUCUGUCCAUCCAUCCAUCAGUAGGAUGAAAUGAGAUUUAGCGGAACAGGCAGCCGUAACUCUGAGACACUUUCUAACCAACAAUUGCAGCCCUGGCCUGAGUCUCACCACAAAGCACAGCACUGGGGUUUGGCGGGAUGUGGCAGCAAGCAGUCUCCUUCCCGUCACUGCCAGCCUAGAGUGUAUUCAAUAUGAAGCCAUUGGCCAGCCUUACUUCCCAUACAAAAAUUUGGCUAAACUUUUGAUGAUGAGUAGACAGUAACUCUCUUUCAACUCCAGACUGUUUAACAAGUUGAGCAGACCUUUUUGAUGUUAAUAUUUUUUUAAUACUUGUAGAUAUUUCUGCUGGCAAUUCCCUAUUCAUCAUGGUAAUAAGGAUGAUGUUGAAUUAAAUUCAAAGAUAAUUCAUUGAUUUUAUUUUAUACAAGUUUUUUUUAUUCUUAAAUUAAAAUUUCUGCCUAUAUUCAUACGUAGUAAAAAUUGAAUUUUCAUCCUUAUUUCUUUCUACAUUAAUGGUGCUAAUGUGAAAGGAAAGAAAGUAUGGAUAGGAAAAUGGGUAAAAGAUUAAAAGCAAGAACCUAGGUGAUCCCUAAAGUGGAUUAUCAAGCUGUGAAUAGAUGAAUAUUAACUAUAUCUUUAUGGUUCCUCUACUUUUCCUAUAACUGAACAUUUUGAGAGACCCUGUUGGUCAAAAUAGCACUUUGUACUCAUGUUGACUAUCCUGGUAUCUUUCCUAGGCAUGAACAGCUUCCUUGACUGUUUUCUUACAAUGGUCACUUCAGACCUCAGCUCCUGCUCUUUGUUCUGAAGCCUUGGUUUUCACCUCAGAUUGAGGGAGGGGUUAAGGGAGCCUAAUGUACCGGAGAUGCCUCGGAAAUGAGAGCCUUGGAUGAAUUCCUGGGCCUAUUGAUCCACCGGCAGUUUAUGCAUCCUGACAUUCAUAAUCUCAGUAGGCUGCUGAUGUUCCUGAUUAAUGGGCCCAGGGGCUGUCCAUCCGUCACUUCACAUUAAUUACUGAAGAGGUGUUUUUCCAGUGAUUUACCUGACAGUGGGCUGUGAUAAAUACCCCUAAGCAGAGUGGGCAGUGAUUAAUCACAGGGCUAUACCCCUCCCCCCAUUUUUCCUUUCCCCUAACCACAGGCCAGCAUUGGGACCUGACCAAAGAGUGCCCCCUCCCCAUAAGCUAUCUAUCUCCAUAAUUGCUUGUGGAUGGUGAUUUAUUGGGGCAUGAGACCUGGCAGAUAGCAUUUAAGAAUUUGAGCCAAAGAUGAUGAAAAAUAAAUCUUUCCAGUAGGAAGAGUAACUAACAUGUUUUUACAUGGGGCAGAUAAGUAUAUAAGAGCUGCGUUUAUGUUACCUUUAAAAUUUUGGGAGGAAUAUUGUCUUCUUACUAUGUCUGUACUUAGUGCUGUGAUAGUUAUGUUGCAGGCUUUAAAAAGAGGAGACAGUACAACUUUUGUCUUUGAUAUUUGUAGUCUAUUCAGGGAGAAAAUGAACAAAUAGAAUGUAGACUAUUUCAAGAUAUUGGUAUAAUCUGAGGAGGACUGGAAUAGAACUCUAGGGUUUCAUUUUUUUUGUGGCCUUAGAAGAUGAAAUUUAGUUAAAUAUUUAGCUAUUUUAUUGUUUUCCAUGUGUCAGAUACUAAUUUCAACUUCAGAAAUUGGAAGAUAAGUUUAAUGUAGCUGCAGAUCUCAGCAAAAACCAAUGCCAUUUGCCUCAAUUUCUCAAAGUAUGAACUUUCCAGAGAUUUGUUGAAUUAAUUUUUGCAUUAAUUUGUUUCUCUGAGUAUAUAUUUAGUAAUUGUGUUCACAAGGAUACAAGGAGCACAUGAGGAAUUAUGUCUGUUUUCAAGAAACGUAUACAGUAUGAGAUAAUAUUCAUAAAUGCAACUUUUUUUUUUUUUAAGGUGGGGUUGUAUUUCUGUUUUUCCCAGAUUAACCCUGAAUUACUGGACUCAAUUGAUCUUUUCUACAUCAGCAUCCUGAGUAGCUGGGACCAUAGGUGUGCAUCAUCAUCAUGCCUGGCUAUAAAUGCAACACUUAAACAACAGUAUAAGGUAGUAUCUAAUGACAUGAAUACCACAGAUAAUGAAUGUAUAUGAAUUCACAGAAGGAUGAAAGCAGUGUACCUUCAAAUGGUUAUAGGAAAAAGCCAAAUUUGAUAUACGUCUUUUGAAUUAAUAGAAACUAGGGCUGUUUAAAAUGAGAUAAUUCUAGGGGGAUAGUUCAGAUGUUGAAUGAAAGAGGCUGGGAGGCCAUCCUGCCUGGAAUGGAGAAUUUUAUUUGUGAGUAGCAGGAAUCUGAUUGAAACAGUACAUUGACACCAAGUCAUGGCGAACUUUAAAUUCCUUAUUUUAUAUCUUGUAGGUUCUGGUGAAUCACUAAGGGGUGCAGGUGUGUGUAUGCUGGAGUUUGACUAGAGAGCUUACACAUGCUAGGCAAGCAUAUUUCUGACUACUGUACCUUCACCCUGCCAGAGGGAUUUUCUUAAUGUCUCCUCUACCCUCACCUUUAUGUCUUCCUGCUGAACUUGCAUCUUAAAGAGGGUAUUUCUCCAUGCGCUAGCUCUUCUCCCAAGUAGGUGUUUGUUGAUACCAUUGGUAUGGUUCAGUCUUCAUUUUAGGUAGGUGUCUUACUUUCCCUUGGAACUCACUUGGAACUUUUUCAGUGGUUCUUUAAGGGUAGAGGACUUUGGUUUGGUUGGUUUUGUUUCAUUUCCCUUAAUCAACUACAGUAGGUCUUUGCGUUUUUCCUGAGAGCAAUAGCAUUGACUGCCUUUUUUCCCUUACCACUUAAGACUUUUCCUAUAGGAGAGGUGGGCAAGAAGAAUCCAGGUAGGUUUUGGUAUUUUUCCCAAAGGAGCUUCCAUUCUCUUCCAAAUGUACCCUAGUCGUUUUUUUUCAGCCUGCAUUGAGGUCUUUGGAGAAGAUUCCUAUGGGUGAGUGAGAAUCCUAUUGUUUCUGUGGUUACCAAGGGUUUUAUAUUGUCAUAGUAGCCCAUGUUUGGCCUGUAGUAAUUUUAAAAUAAUUUUAAUUUUGAUUAAAAUUCUUCUGACUGACUUGUAUGAUAUCCAUUGUUUACUAUAGGUAAGGAAGUGUCCUCAUGUCUCAUCUUUCCUUUGAGAAGUCUUGUCUUUCCUUAAAUUUGAGGUAGUUGUUUGCCCUUAAAAUUUUAGGUAUAUUGCUAUGAAAUGUGUAAAAAUCACAAAAUUUCCUGAACCCAGCAAGAAAGUAAGGGUUUUGGAAAUUUUGUGAUUUUGCACGUUAUCCACCCACCAUUCAUUCAUUCAUUCGUUUAGUAGUGCAGAAGAUUAAAUAGUUAAGUAAUUUACUAAUUUUACCAAAGUAUUGAUAAGAACUGCAAUAGGAGUAUAUAGAAGAGUAUAUAUAAUCUUAAAUAAUUAAUGUUAUGGUUUGGAUCUGGAAUGUCCUCCAUAGACUCAGGUGUUAAUAGUUGGUGCCCAGUUGGUGCUUUGGGAGGUGGCUACUAACUGGAAGGUGUUGAUCACUGGUGGUAUAUCCCUGAAGGGUCCAUUUUUUCGAUUUCUUCCCUCCCCAGUUCCUGGCAGCUGUGAGAUAAGCAGCACCUGCUCCACCUUGCACUCUUCACUGGGUAAUGUUAUACCUCACCAAAGGCCCAAAGUGACAGGACCAAGUAAUCAUGGUGUGAAAUCACCAGCCAAAAAUAAAAUCUUUCCUAAGUUGAUUUUCUCAGGAAAUUUGUGAGAGAGAGAAUAGAGGAGAUUAGUAAAGAUGGGAAGUUGUAGGAAAGUAAAAUAGGUAGAAGGAAGAGACCAUGUGGUGGCUAAUAUGUAAAACAAACAAACAAAAACCCUGCAAAACAGAUAUGGAAAGUUUGAAAAGCUGAAAGAUGCCCACUAUGGCUAAAUGGUAUACAAGGACAGAAGUGACAGAAGGUAAGAGUGGAGAAAAUUGACCAGAGCCAGGAUAAAACAAGUCUUGUAAACCAUGUUAAGAGGUUGAUUGUUAUCAUAAAAAUAUUGGGGAGUCGUUGAAUGGUUUUUAUUGAGGGGGAUAGCUAAGCAGGGAAUUAUUUUUAAACGGUCAUUCUGGAUGCAAGGUGAGGAGUGAUGGAAAGGAAGCUAAGACAGAGAGAUGGCCUGUUACCACAAUAUAGGGAUUUGUAUGUGUUGGUUUAACCUGGAGCAGUGACAUUAGGGAUAGGGAGAAUUAACCCAGGUUAAAGAGAUAUUUAGGUAUGACGGUCAGUAGAACUUGUCCAUUGAUUGAAUAUGGAGGUCAAGGGAGAAGGAAGACUUGCAGUGUAUUCAGUAAAAGUCUUGGUAUGUUGCUUCAGUUUUCCUUUCUUCCUUGAGAGAGAGACUAGAAUAAAAACAUCCUUGGUUGACUUCACCAUUCAUGACCCAUGGUUCAAAAUUUAUUGAGGUUUUGGGUGGAAGUAAGUCAGAAAAGGAAAAAAAAAACAUUUAAAUAAUUUGUAACGUCAUUUGAAUACAGGUCUUUUGCCUGAUUAUCUUUCAGUGUUGAGAAAAACAGAAGACAGUUUGGUUCUUUCAGUUUUGAUGUUUAGCCACUUGGCUUGUAAACAAAUAAAAUCUGGAAAAUGGCUUCCUUACCCUUUUUGAACAAAAAUAGCAUAAAAUUGAUCUUUUCAAAUAGCUGUUCCAUUUAGAUAGAUACUUAACACAUUUAAUCACAUAACUUCCUUGUUUUUCCCAGAUGGUUUUAUUCAGCAUUUGGUGUGGUGAAUAUUACAUAAAUAUUUACAACCUGUGUUUGAGAGUUCUAGUCUUCCAAAACUCCAGUCACCUAAGAUCAUGACCACUGCCACUGACAGCUGUGACAAGUUUUAUACAGAACACAGCUGUGGAUGCCAGCAGUAUUUUUAUGGUAUGUGGGGGGGAAAUACAAUUUUCAGAAA
This 22129-nucleotide long non-coding RNA is filed under the name Marmota monax (woodchuck). The stretch from base 1972 to 2042 matches the Rfam family "tRNA". The record is from RNAcentral. Lineage: Eukaryota; Metazoa; Chordata; Mammalia; Rodentia; Sciuridae.